UAAGUUAUUAAGGGCGCACGGUGGAUGCCUUGGCACUAGAAGCCGAUGAAGGACGUUACUAACGACGAUAUGCUUUGGGGAGCUGUAAGUAAGCUUUGAUCCAGAGAUUUCCGAAUGGGGAAACCCAGCAUGAGUUAUGUCAUGUUAUCGAUAUGUGAAUACAUAGCAUAUCAGAAGGCACACCCGGAGAACUGAAACAUCUUAGUACCCGGAGGAAGAGAAAGAAAAUUCGAUUCCCUUAGUAGCGGCGAGCGAAAUGGGAAGAGCCCAAACCAACAAGCUUGCUUGUUGGGGUUGUAGGACACUCUAUACGGAGUUACAAAGGACGACAUUAGACGAAUCAUCUGGAAAGAUGAAUCAAAGAAGGUAAUAAUCCUGUAGUCGAAAAUGUUGUCUCUCUUGAGUGGAUCCUGAGUACGACGGAGCACGUGAAAUUCCGUCGGAAUCUGGGAGGACCAUCUCCUAAGGCUAAAUACUCUCUAGUGACCGAUAGUGAACCAGUACCGUGAGGGAAAGGUGAAAAGCACCCCGGAAGGGGAGUGAAAUAGAACCUGAAACCGUGUGCUUACAAGUAGUCAGAGCCCGUUAAUGGGUGAUGGCGUGCCUUUUGUAGAAUGAACCGGCGAGUUACGAUUUGAUGCAAGGUUAAGCAGUAAAUGUGGAGCCGUAGCGAAAGCGAGUCUGAAUAGGGCGUUUAGUAUUUGGUCGUAGACCCGAAACCAGGUGAUCUACCCUUGGUCAGGUUGAAGUUCAGGUAACACUGAAUGGAGGACCGAACCGACUUACGUUGAAAAGUGAGCGGAUGAACUGAGGGUAGCGGAGAAAUUCCAAUCGAACCUGGAGAUAGCUGGUUCUCUCCGAAAUAGCUUUAGGGCUAGCCUCAAGUGAUGAUUAUUGGAGGUAGAGCACUGUUUGGACGAGGGGCCCCUCUCGGGUUACCGAAUUCAGACAAACUCCGAAUGCCAAUUAAUUUAACUUGGGAGUCAGAACAUGGGUGAUAAGGUCCGUGUUCGAAAGGGAAACAGCCCAGACCACCAGCUAAGGUCCCAAAUAUAUGUUAAGUGGAAAAGGAUGUGGCGUUGCCCAGACAACUAGGAUGUUGGCUUAGAAGCAGCCAUCAUUUAAAGAGUGCGUAAUAGCUCACUAGUCGAGUGACACUGCGCCGAAAAUGUACCGGGGCUAAACAUAUUACCGAAGCUGUGGAUUGUCCUUUGGACAAUGGUAGGAGAGCGUUCUAAGGGCGUUGAAGCAUGAUCGUAAGGACAUGUGGAGCGCUUAGAAGUGAGAAUGCCGGUGUGAGUAGCGAAAGACGGGUGAGAAUCCCGUCCACCGAUUGACUAAGGUUUCCAGAGGAAGGCUCGUCCGCUCUGGGUUAGUCGGGUCCUAAGCUGAGGCCGACAGGCGUAGGCGAUGGAUAACAGGUUGAUAUUCCUGUACCACCUAUAAUCGUUUUAAUCGAUGGGGGGACGCAGUAGGAUAGGCGAAGCGUGCGAUUGGAUUGCACGUCUAAGCAGUAAGGCUGAGUAUUAGGCAAAUCCGGUACUCGUUAAGGCUGAGCUGUGAUGGGGAGAAGACAUUGUGUCUUCGAGUCGUUGAUUUCACACUGCCGAGAAAAGCCUCUAGAUAGAAAAUAGGUGCCCGUACCGCAAACCGACACAGGUAGUCAAGAUGAGAAUUCUAAGGUGAGCGAGCGAACUCUCGUUAAGGAACUCGGCAAAAUGACCCCGUAACUUCGGGAGAAGGGGUGCUCUUUAGGGUUAACGCCCAGAAGAGCCGCAGUGAAUAGGCCCAAGCGACUGUUUAUCAAAACACAGGUCUCUGCUAAACCGUAAGGUGAUGUAUAGGGGCUGACGCCUGCCCGGUGCUGGAAGGUUAAGAGGAGUGGUUAGCUUCUGCGAAGCUACGAAUCGAAGCCCCAGUAAACGGCGGCCGUAACUAUAACGGUCCUAAGGUAGCGAAAUUCCUUGUCGGGUAAGUUCCGACCCGCACGAAAGGCGUAACGAUUUGGGCACUGUCUCAACGAGAGACUCGGUGAAAUCAUAGUACCUGUGAAGAUGCAGGUUACCCGCGACAGGACGGAAAGACCCCGUGGAGCUUUACUGUAGCCUGAUAUUGAAAUUCGGCACAGCUUGUACAGGAUAGGUAGGAGCCUUUGAAACGUGAGCGCUAGCUUACGUGGAGGCGCUGGUGGGAUACUACCCUAGCUGUGUUGGCUUUCUAACCCGCACCACUUAUCGUGGUGGGAGACAGUGUCAGGCGGGCAGUUUGACUGGGGCGGUCGCCUCCUAAAAGGUAACGGAGGCGCUCAAAGGUUCCCUCAGAAUGGUUGGAAAUCAUUCAUAGAGUGUAAAGGCAUAAGGGAGCUUGACUGCGAGACCUACAAGUCGAGCAGGGUCGAAAGACGGACUUAGUGAUCCGGUGGUUCCGCAUGGAAGGGCCAUCGCUCAACGGAUAAAAGCUACCCCGGGGAUAACAGGCUUAUCUCCCCCAAGAGUUCACAUCGACGGGGAGGUUUGGCACCUCGAUGUCGGCUCAUCGCAUCCUGGGGCUGUAGUCGGUCCCAAGGGUUGGGCUGUUCGCCCAUUAAAGCGGUACGCGAGCUGGGUUCAGAACGUCGUGAGACAGUUCGGUCCCUAUCCGUCGUGGGCGUAGGAAAUUUGAGAGGAGCUGUCCUUAGUACGAGAGGACCGGGAUGGACAUACCUCUGGUGUACCAGUUGUCGUGCCAACGGCAUAGCUGGGUAGCUAUGUGUGGACGGGAUAAGUGCUGAAAGCAUCUAAGCAUGAAGCCCCCCUCAAGAUGAGAUUUCCCAACUUCGGUUAUAAGAUCCCUCAAAGAUGAUGAGGUUAAUAGGUUCGAGGUGGAAGCAUGGUGACAUGUGGAGCUGACGAAUACUAAUCGAUCGAAGACUUAAUCA
RNAcentral lists this ribosomal RNA (2917 nucleotides) under Staphylococcus aureus. Its description in RNAcentral is "bacterial LSU rRNA". It matches the Rfam family "Bacterial large subunit ribosomal RNA". The record is from RNAcentral. Lineage: Bacteria; Bacillati; Bacillota; Bacilli; Caryophanales; Staphylococcaceae.